GGGAAGGUGGCUUAGUGGGAGAGCGCUUGCCUAGCAUGCAUGAAGCUGUGGGUUCGAUUCCUCAGUACCA
This 70-nucleotide transfer RNA is filed under the name Dipodomys ordii (Ord's kangaroo rat). It matches the Rfam family "tRNA". From Rfam's summary of the family: Transfer RNA (tRNA) molecules are approximately 80 nucleotides in length. The record is from Rfam by way of RNAcentral. Lineage: Eukaryota; Metazoa; Chordata; Mammalia; Rodentia; Heteromyidae.